AAUUUAUACAUUUUUAAAUUUUAAAUUUUAAAAUUUAAAUUUAUAGUUUUAAAUUUUAAAUUUAUAAUUUUUCAAAUUUAAAAUUUUAUAUUUUAUAUUUUUUAAAUUUAAAAUUUUAUAUUUUAUAUAUUUUAAAUUUAAAUUUGAUAUUUUAUAUUUUUUAAAUUUAAAUUUGAUUUUAAAUUUAAAAUGAAAAUUUGAUAAAUUAAAACUUACAAUUUAAGAUUUUUAAAUUUGAAUUUUAAAUUUAAAAAUUAAAAUUUUAAAUUAAAAAAAUCAAAUAUAAAAUUUAAAAAUUUAAAUUCAAAUUUAAUGAAAAAAGUAAUAUCAUUAUUUUUUAUUUAUAACUGUCCACUAUUUUUCUUAUUCCGCAACCUAUUCAAAUGCUAUUUUUCUUAUUCCUGAAAAUAAUCUAAUUUUCAUCCAAACGUUAUUUUUUUUAUUCCCGGAACAACCAAAUUUUAAUCCAAAUACAAAAUUGGUUUAGUUUUUACUCAUACUUAGACUUGUGUCUAUUCUUAAAAUAAACAAUUUUUAUUUAUAGCUG
This 547-nucleotide long non-coding RNA is filed under the name Ananas comosus (pineapple). Its description in RNAcentral is "long non-coding RNA (ACOM_LNC029580)". The record is from RNAcentral. Lineage: Eukaryota; Viridiplantae; Streptophyta; Magnoliopsida; Poales; Bromeliaceae.